UCGUAACAAGGUUUCCGUAGGUGAACCUGCGGAAGGAUCAUUACCGAGUGCGGGUCUUUAUGGCCCAACCUCCCACCCGUGACUAUUGUACCUUGUUGCUUCGGCGGGCCCGCCAGCGUUGCUGGCCGCCGGGGGGCGACUCGCCCCCGGGCCCGUGCCCGCCGGAGACCCCAACAUGAACCCUGUUCUGAAAGCUUGCAGUCUGAGUGUGAUUCUUUGCAAUCAGUUAAAACUUUCAACAAUGGAUCUCUUGGUUCCGGCAUCGAUGAAGAACGCAGCGAAAUGCGAUAACUAAUGUGAAUUGCAGAAUUCAGUGAAUCAUCGAGUCUUUGAACGCACAUUGCGCCCCCUGGUAUUCCGGGGGGCAUGCCUGUCCGAGCGUCAUUGCUGCCCUCAAGCCCGGCUUGUGUGUUGGGCCCUCGUCCCCCGGCUCCCGGGGGACGGGCCCGAAAGGCAGCGGCGGCACCGCGUCCGGUCCUCGAGCGUAUGGGGCUUCGUCUUCCGCUCCGUAGGCCCGGCCGGCGCCCGCCGACGCAUUUAUUUGCAACUUGUUUUUUUCCAGGUUGACCUCGGAUCAGGUAGGGAUACCCGCUGAACCUAAGCAUAUCA
Molecule: unclassified non-coding RNA, 609 nt
Filed under: Aspergillus terreus
Lineage: Eukaryota; Fungi; Ascomycota; Eurotiomycetes; Eurotiales; Aspergillaceae
Description: sequence contains 18S rRNA gene, ITS1, 5.8S rRNA gene, ITS2, 28S rRNA gene
Rfam family: 5.8S ribosomal RNA (bases 231-384)
Source: RNAcentral